AAGUCAAGCGCCAUGUCUCGUAUUCUUGAUCAGCUAUAGCUCUGGAGUUUUUGCAGAUUUUCAAAUAAAACUCAGAGAUUCCUUGUAUGACUCUCUCAAAUCUCUCUUUUGUGGUAUUUCUGGAUCCUUUCCAAGGCAGUAAUAGUAUAUGCCUUCUCUCAAAGUAUGUGGUAUUUUUGGUAUGAGGCAUAGUGAUAUUGCCUUCUCUCUCACCCUACUCUAAUAAGGUUUUGAUAUCUGGAGCUCAUAGGUGGGAGACAGAUAAUACAUACUUACAAGAAAUUUAUUGCAUAGUCAAACCAUGGAUCCAGAGAAACAAAUCAAUAAGUCAAAUCAAGAUGUGCAUGUGUGGCGAGUGAAUGGUGUAUGGUGAUAACAAUGGUGAAAAUCUAAUUCUACUUUUUCUCUUUUGAGGAGAUACAUACCUUUCUUGCACUUGAAGCUUUUUGAGGGGAAUGAGAUGCUCUAUAUUUUCUUUUUCUUUUCUCUUAGGUGGGUAUCUUGUACCCCUAAUUCUACUGUCGGACACUUAUCCAUUUUUACCUCUCGUCUCACUUUUUCUUUUCUUCGAGGUUCCGGGCACUUGCCCCUUUUUAUUUCCUCUUUUUUUUCAGAGCACUCACCCUCCUAGAAUAAUGUAGCAAGUGGUAGUAACCAAAAUAUCUCGAGCAUUUAUUUCACGGGGAAUAACAAGGAUAGGAAAUGUUUUUGGCUAUUCUCUCCUAGAUAGGAGUAGAAUCAUUUUAGGUGAAUCUGGAGAUGGAAAUGAGUGGAUGUGGAUGCGUACUUCCAGAGUAGAAGUAGCAUGUAUGAGUGAACGUGCAAGUGAAUCUUGAUUUUAACCGCAUGACAAGUUCCUAAGGGUCUACAUAACUUGACCACACUCAAUGCUCAUAAGUAGUAAAAAGUAAAUAUACGGUUCAUAGUCUAAUAAGCAUGUAUAUGUGGCAGUGGUAGGAUUUUAAACUCUCAUCAUAAAGGAACUCAUCAUGCAACAUUUUAAUGAUUUUCAAAGAUAAAAUUCUCCAGAAUUCUAGCAUCUCUAGGAGCAGAUAAACAGCAGCUCAACCUUCCCAUAUUAUAUCCGUUAACGACUUAGACUUUAGAUCAAGUACUCUUCCCACAAGUUUAGGUUUAGAGCAAAUCUUAAUUCAUAAUAGUCAUAUCUAAACUUGAGAGAGAAUUCAAUUUUGAGAACUAGUCAUGGCAGAGCAACUAUUCAUCAUUUCCAUGUGAGAGCUUAUCAUGAGGGUUCAUAGCGAACUUUAUUCAUUUAUUUAUUUAGCAAACUAAGCAUAGAUAUAUAUAUAUAUAAGCAUAAAAUCUUUAUUUGGGUUUUUAUGAUUAUGCAUCUUUUUAUUAUUUGAGUAAAGUAUAAACGCGAGUAGAAACACUUAGCUGGAUAAAUGUGGGUGCUCUCCCCCAAGCUAGAUUUUGACGUAAUUUCUUCUGAUGUAGCUAGCAGGUGGCGGAGGUGUAUUUGAAUGUCGGCAGCACCCUGACAGCGAUUAGGAUGUCCUCCGUCUCCUAGUCUUCUUUGAUCCUUGAAUUCUGUGGAGCUCAAAUAGACAACAAAGCUUUGUGGAACUGGUUAAGUGUUAGCAUAAAAUCUCUUUGCCUUUAUCAUGUUGAGCUUUCUCAAAUAAAUAUUACUCUCUUUGGUA
RNAcentral lists this long non-coding RNA (1664 nucleotides) under Sorghum bicolor (sorghum). RNAcentral's name for it is "long non-coding RNA (SBIC_LNC011940)". Lineage: Eukaryota; Viridiplantae; Streptophyta; Magnoliopsida; Poales; Poaceae. The record is from RNAcentral.